Molecule: long non-coding RNA, 280 nt
Filed under: Homo sapiens (human)
Lineage: Eukaryota; Metazoa; Chordata; Mammalia; Primates; Hominidae
Description: HSALNT0338353
Source: RNAcentral
CGCUCCUCCAACACUGGGGAUUCCAAUUCCACCUGAGAUCUGGGCAGGGACACACAUUCAAACCAUAUCACCUGAAAAGAAGAAAUGCGUGAGGAUUGAAAUUGGCAACCAAUCUUUGAAAGCCUAGUAGACACCCGAUGCCUUCAACAUGUCUUAUAUGACCCUUGCCUCCAGCCUGUAAGGCUGGAGUGCAGUGGUGUGAUCUCAGCUCACUGAAACCUCCGCCUCCCGGAUUCAAGCAAUUCUCUUGCCUCAGCCUCCUGAGUAGCUGGGAUUACAG